This 407-nucleotide ribosomal RNA is filed under the name uncultured bacterium. RNAcentral describes it as "partial 16S ribosomal RNA". It matches the Rfam family "Bacterial small subunit ribosomal RNA", at positions 30 to 526 of the family's 1533-position model. The record is from RNAcentral.
AUUGAACGCUGGCGGCAGGCCUAACACAUGCAAGUCGAGCGGAGCGGCGGACGGGUGAGUAAUGCUUAGGAAUUUGCCUGGUCGUGGGGGAUAACGUCCGGAAACGGGCGCUAAUACCGCAUACUAUCAGCAUAGCCUAGGUCGGAUUAGCUAGUUGGUGGGGUAAAGGCCUACCAGGGCGACGAUCCGUAACUGGUCUGAGAGGAUGAUCAUUCACACUGGAACUGAGACACGGGCCAGACUCCUACGGGAGGCAGCAGUGGGGAAUAUUGGACAAUGGGCGAAAGCCUGAUCAAGCCAUGCCGCGUGUGUGAAGAAGGUCUUCGGAUUGUAAAGCACUUUAAGUUGGGAGGCGUUACCAACAGAAGAAGCACCGGCUAACUUCGUGCCAGCAGCCGCGGUAAUAC